RNAcentral lists this small RNA (1407 nucleotides) under Drosophila pseudoobscura pseudoobscura. Its description in RNAcentral is "GA33002". The record is from RNAcentral. Lineage: Eukaryota; Metazoa; Arthropoda; Insecta; Diptera; Drosophilidae.
AUCCCCUCCUAUAUAGAGCCGAAAAUAAUUUGAACAUAAACAGGAAUUAUUGCCAGCCAACAACAGGACAAGCAGCAGGAGCAGCAGGAGCAGCAGAGGCAGACGGAGGCCAACAGCAACAUAAGAAAUAACAAGGCCAAGACACAGAGAAAACUUUAAAUUCCCUCAAAUAAGCCAAGAAAGGACAGAGAGCGAGAGAGAGAGAGAGAAAGCCGUGCAGCAGGCGGCGGGGAAAUAAAUAACAACAAAGUUGUCAUAAUAAAAAUACAUAAAUAAAAGCUGAGGAAUUUAUGCCACAAUAACAACGGGGCAGCCCAAGCGGCAGCGGCAGCAGCAGCAGCAGCAGCAACAGCAACAGCAACAGCGGAAGCAGCAGCACCACCGGAAGUAGUUCCAGAACAAGUUGGAAAUCUGGACAUAUUUGUGAUUCGGUGCGUUACUGCUGUUGCCUGAUUUCCAAGGCUCAUACGAUCGGAAUUUAUACUCUCUCUGCAUAAGCGCACCUUCAGAAGUAAAGUGGGAUUUCAAAAUGUUAAACACUAUUGUUUUAAACGCUGAUAUUCCUUUACUGAUGAAAAUUCUCAUAUGUCAGUGCGGAUCUGACACACUGAGGCCGGCUUCGGCUCUGGCUCGUCUUUGGCUCCUCUUUGGCUCCUCUUUGGCUCCUCUUUGGCUCGUUGUGGUAAAAACUGACGGCAAGGCGCCGAAGGUGUGACCACCAGAAAGCCAGACAGACGACAGGCACAUAUUUCAGAGCCGGGCAGGGCAUCGCUUACUUGGCCAUUGGCCUAAUGAGAAAUUAUGGCCGCAUCUACUCGUACGAGAAGCUCGGGCACUCCGGACGUAUGGCCCGGCCCGGCCCGGCUCGGCCUAUACUUUGCGGCUGCUGGCCAAUGCCAAUCUGUCCCUGCCCAGCUCUGUCCUGCCCUGCCCUGUUGUCUGCCCUGCCAUGCCCUGCCCUGUAGUCUGCUCUAAUUAUGCUAACCACUUGCGCAAACUUGGACUUGGGGACAGCGGCCCGAAGAAGUUUCCGAGCUCUGACGGGGGCCACAUCAAAGCAAAAGAUUUAAUUAAAAAUUUGAUAACUUGGUCGCUCUGCGGUAUGGUACCUUUUUACUUUUUUUCUUUUGUUUUUUUGUUGAUGUUGUUUUUUACUUUUUUGGCGUAGCUGCUGGCCAUCAUCUGCAGAUUCCAUCAUCAGAAAUUUAAUCAAGACUAAAAGUUGGACCAGGCCAGAGCCAGAGCCAGUCCCCACUCGGAUAAUGAGAAUCUACUCAUACCCUCCUCAGAGGUACGCCAAAGACAGUUCCAAAAUAAAUUGUUUACUGUUACGGAAAUGUAAUUUGCGGUUGAUUUUCUGUAUAUGGGAAUACUCCCAUGCAUGUACAAUGUAAAGAAUCCCUUGAA